UACAGAGGGGGCAAGCGUUGUUCGGAAUUACUGGGCGUAAAGGGCGCGUAGGCGGCCCGCUAAGUCGAACGUGAAAUCCCCAGGCUCAACCUGGGAACUGCGUCUGAUACUGGAAGGCUUGAGUAUGGGAGAGGGAUGUAGAAUUCCAGGUGUAGCGGUGAAAUGCGUAGAUAUCUGGAGGAAUACCGGUGGCGAAGGCGGCAUCCUGGACCAUUACUGACGCUGAGGCGCGAAAGCUAGGGGAGCAAACGGG
Molecule: ribosomal RNA, 253 nt
Filed under: uncultured bacterium
Lineage: Bacteria
Description: partial 16S ribosomal RNA
Rfam family: Bacterial small subunit ribosomal RNA
Source: RNAcentral